GACGAAUGCUGGCGGCGUGCUUAACACAUGCAAGUCGAACGGAAAGGCCCUGCUUUUGUGGGGUGCUCGAGUGGCGAACGGGUGAGUAACACGUGAGUAACCUGCCCUUGACUUUGGGAUAACUUCAGGAAACUGGGGCUAAUACCGGAUAGGAGCUCCUGCUGCAUGGUGGGGGUUGGAAAGUUUCGGCGGUUGGGGAUGGACUCGCGGCUUAUCAGCUUGUUGGUGGGGUAGUGGCUUACCAAGGCUUUGACGGGUAGCCGGCCUGAGAGGGUGGCCGGCCACAUUGGGCCUGCGAUACGGCCCAGACUCCUACGGGAGGCAGCAGUGGGGAAUAUUGCACAAUGGGCGGAAGCCUGAUGCAGCAACGCCGCGUGCGGGAUGACGGCCUUCGGGUUGUAAACCGCUUUCGCCUGUGACGAAGCGUGAGUGACGGUAAUGGGUAAAGAAGCACCGGCUAACUACGUG
This 468-nucleotide ribosomal RNA is filed under the name uncultured bacterium. RNAcentral describes it as "partial 16S ribosomal RNA". It matches the Rfam family "Bacterial small subunit ribosomal RNA", at positions 28 to 507 of the family's 1533-position model. The record is from RNAcentral.